RNAcentral lists this ribosomal RNA (494 nucleotides) under uncultured bacterium. Its description in RNAcentral is "partial 16S ribosomal RNA". It matches the Rfam family "Bacterial small subunit ribosomal RNA", at positions 28 to 507 of the family's 1533-position model. The record is from RNAcentral.
GACGAACGCUGGCGGCGUGCUUAACACAUGCAAGUCGAACGGUGAAGCGCCUUCCUUUUUGGUGGGUGUGGAUGAGUGGCGAACGGGUGAGUAACACGUGGGUAACCUGCCCCCUUCUUCUGGACAACCGCAUGAAAGUGUGGCUAAUACGGGAUAUUCUGGGUCUGUCGCAUGAUGGGUCUGGGAAAGAUAUUGUUUCGGUGGGGGAUGGGCUCGCGGCCUAUCAGCUUGUUGGUGGGGUGAUGGCCUACCAAGGCGGUGACGGGUAGCCGGCCUGGGAGGGUGGACGGUCACACUGGGACUGAGACACGGCCCAGACUCCUACGGGAGGCAGCAGUGGGGAAUAUUGCACAAUGGGCGCAAGCCUGAUGCAGCGACGCCGCGUGAGGGAUGGAGGCCUUCGGGUUGUGAACCUCUUUCGCCAGUGAAGCAGGCCUGCCUCGUUUGUGAGUGGGUUGACGGUAGCUGGAUAAGAAGCGCCGGCUAACUACGUG